AUGUAAUAGGGUGUUCAUGUAAGAUGUUAAUGAUGUUGGGUAUUAUGGUCUUGCAGCUAAGCUUCUAUGGAGGGGUGCUGAGUGUUGGAAUGAGUGUUUAAAGCUUUUGGGCGUUGCUGAAGCAGCAGAAGCAUCAAUGGAUUCUGACUAGUUAAGCUCUGGAAUUUCAGAUUUUGAUACUCACUUUCAAGGCCUCAUAGUUCAGAAAAGUGAUGAUGACGACUCUGAGAAUGAGUCGGCACUUGAAAUUCAGCCAUACUUGAUGGAAGAAAAAUUGUCGAAGCACUUGAUAAUCACUUGACUGCUAUCCAAAGGGACCAUGAACUCAGGUCCCAGAUAGAAGAAAGGAAAAUAAGAAGUGAUGCGGCUUAUGAAGGGGCCAAAAGAAAAGAGAAAGCUCUCCUGGAAGAAAAACUCCGCCAAUAAAAAGCCAAAGCAGAAGCUGAGGCAAAACUCAGAGCUGAAGAAGAAAAUAGAGCUGCAAUGGAAGCUCAGAGAAGAGAAGCAAAAGAGGCUGCUGAAAGGGAGGCCAAUGAAGCGUCAAGCCAGGCUGUUGUUCAGAAGGAAGCUUUAGGAUUGCAAACUAAAGCCAAAGCCAAGGAAUCUGAAUUUGAAAAACCAAUAAAUUCAGCAUCAGCAGGUAAUUUGGCUACCAGGCAAAUAUAGCAACCUUGUACUGAUCUAUAAAUAUAAUAAUUUGCCCUUUUAUCUAAAAAUCUAGUUUAGCCCUAGUUUUCACAAAGAUCAGCUAGGUUUUGGCAA
This is a long non-coding RNA of Humulus lupulus (European hop), 762 nucleotides long. RefSeq lists it as uncharacterized. NCBI's taxonomy places the organism in Eukaryota, Viridiplantae, Streptophyta, Magnoliopsida, Rosales, Cannabaceae. The transcript has 4 exons. The record is from RefSeq and is a predicted model, not a curated record.